RNAcentral lists this long non-coding RNA (598 nucleotides) under Struthio camelus australis. RNAcentral describes it as "lncRNA (ENSSCUG00000015128.1)". Lineage: Eukaryota; Metazoa; Chordata; Aves; Struthioniformes; Struthionidae. The record is from RNAcentral.
CCUCACGGCGCCGGGAGCCCGGGCAGGAGCCGGGGCUGAGACCAAGCAGGAGGCAAGGCUGUAACAUGCAUCUCCAGGUCCAUGCUGGAGAGAAGACUACCCACAAUUUUGCUGCAGGGCCGGGCUCGUACGAUCCAAAGGCCAUUGAGAGGUCAGAAUACUUCAACCAACCCCCAUUUUGGUCGUCUGCCAAGAGAUUUGAUAGAAAGUCCUGCCGCCUCUUUGCUGGGAAUGAGAAUCCUGUAGGUGCUGGUCGCUACAACAUCACCAGACACGAGAAAUAUCCUUGCAAGAUCAGGUACCAGUCCCUGUACCAGUGUGAAACACGGCGGUACCUGAGUAACCUGGAGCGGGAUGCCUACUUGCUUGAGCGGCUCAAGCCUUCUAUCAAAAACAACUGGAAUGAUUUGAUUGCUGCUCCGCAUUGCCCAGAUACCUCUGAAGCAAUCACUGCUGUUUUCUGAACUUAAGAUGGUGCUGGAAAGCAGUGAAAACCAUGAAUAAGGAAAACUGCAAAUAAGUUGUGAACACACCAGUGGAUGAGUCUGCAUAGAUGAAAAUACUUACAACAUGGAAUAAAAUUCAAUACCAGGAAACA